Molecule: unclassified non-coding RNA, 329 nt
Filed under: soil metagenome
Description: partial contains 5.8S ribosomal RNA, internal transcribed spacer 2, and large subunit ribosomal RNA
Rfam family: 5.8S ribosomal RNA (bases 1-120)
Source: RNAcentral
GAUGAAGAACGCAGCGAAAUGCGAUAAGUAGUGUGAAUUGCAGACUUUAGUGAAUCAUCGAAUCUUUGAACGCACAUUGCGCCCCUUGGUAUUCCAUUGGGCAUGCCUGUUCGAGCGUCAUUUACACCCUCAAGCUCAGCUUGGUGUUGGGCCCCGCCGCCCCGGCGGGCCCUAAAGUCAGUGGCGGUGCCGUCCGGCUCCGAGCGUAGUAAUUCUUCUCGCUCUGGAGGUCCGGUCGUGUGCUCGCCAGCAACCCCCAAUUUUUUUCAGGUUGACCUCGGAUCAGGUAGGGAUACCCGCUGAACUUAAGCAUAUCAAUAAGCGGAGGA